GUUUGGUCCUAGCCUUACUAUCAAGUCUUACUUAAUUUACACAUGCAAGUCUCCGCACCCCGGUGAGAACGCCCAUAAUUUCCUCCUAGGAAAACGGAGCUGGUAUCAGGCCCAACAAGUUAGCCCAUGACACCUAGCCACGCCACACCCUCAAGGGUACUCAGCAGUGAUUAAUAUUAAAAAUUAGCGACAGCUAAACUUAGUUAAAGUAAAGAGGGCUGGCAAAUCUGGUGCCAGCCGCCGCGGCUACACCAAGAAGCCCAAUUUGAUAGUCACCGGCGUAAAGCGUGAUUAAAGCUCAUAAGACACUAGAGUUAAAUUAUAACCAUACUGUGAUAAGUCUGUUAUUUAGAAAACCAGGAACGAAAGUCACUCUAAUAAAAUCUACUUGAACUCACGACAGCUGAGAAACAAACUGAGAUUAGAUACCUCACUAUGCUCAGCCGUAAACUCUUUAAUUACCUACAAAACC
RNAcentral lists this ribosomal RNA (472 nucleotides) under Limnodynastes peronii. Its description in RNAcentral is "partial 12S ribosomal RNA". Lineage: Eukaryota; Metazoa; Chordata; Amphibia; Anura; Limnodynastidae. The record is from RNAcentral.